This 655-nucleotide ribosomal RNA is filed under the name Escherichia coli. RNAcentral describes it as "partial 23S ribosomal RNA". It matches the Rfam family "Bacterial large subunit ribosomal RNA", at positions 1 to 690 of the family's 2925-position model. Lineage: Bacteria; Pseudomonadati; Pseudomonadota; Gammaproteobacteria; Enterobacterales; Enterobacteriaceae. The record is from RNAcentral.
GGGUUGUGAGGUUAAGCGACUAAGCGUACACGGUGGAUGCCCUGGCAGUCAGAGGCGAUGAAGGACGUGCUAAUCUGCGAUAAGCGUCGGUGAGGUGAUAUGAACCGUUAUAACCGGCGAUUUCCGAAUGGGGAAACCCAGUGUGUUUCGACACACUAUCAUUAACUGAAUCCAUAGGUUAAUGAGGCGAACCGGGGGAACUGAAACAUCUAAGUACCCCGAGGAAAAGAAAUCAACCGAGAUUCCCCCAGUAGCGGCGAGCGAACGGGGAGGAGCCCAGAGCCUGAAUCAGUGUGUGUAUUAGUGGAAGCGUCUGGAAAGGCGCGCGAUACAGGGUGACAGCCCCGUACACAAAAAUGCACAUAUUGUGAGCUCGAUGAGUAGGGCGGGACACGUGGUAUCCUGUCUGAAUAUGGGGGGACCAUCCUCCAAGGCUAAAUACUCCUGACUGACCGAUAGUGAACCAGUACCGUGAGGGAAAGGCGAAAAGAACCCCGGCGAGGGGAGUGAAAAAGAACCUGAAACCGUGUACGUACAAGCAGUGGGAGCCUCUUAAUGGGGUGACUGCGUACCUUUUGUAUAAUGGGUCAGCGACUUAUAUUCUGUAGCAAGGUUAACCGAAUAGGGGAGCCGAAGGGAAACCGAGUCUUAACUG